UGGGGAAUCUUGCACAAUGGAGGAAACUCUGAUGCAGCGACGCCGCGUGAGCGAAGAAGCCUUUCGGGGUGUAAAGCUCUUACGCCAGGGACGAUAAUGACGGUACCUGGAGAAGCAGCUGCGGCUAACUACGUGCCAGCAGCCGCGGUAAUACGUAGGCAGCAAGCGUGGGUCGGAAUUACUGGGCGUAAAGGGUGCGUAGGCGGCGCUCUAAGUUUGGUGUGAAAUCUCCCGGCUUAACUGGGAGGGUGCACUGAAAUCUGGGGCGCUCGAGGAUGGGAGAGGAAAGCGUAAUUCCUGGUGUAGCGGUGAAAUGCGUAGAGAUCAGGAGGAACACCUGCGGUGCAGACGGCUUUCUGAACCAUCACUGACGCUGAGGCACGAAAGCGUGGGUAGCAAACA
This 402-nucleotide ribosomal RNA is filed under the name uncultured bacterium. Its description in RNAcentral is "bacterial SSU rRNA". It matches the Rfam family "Bacterial small subunit ribosomal RNA", at positions 355 to 774 of the family's 1533-position model. The record is from RNAcentral.